This 253-nucleotide ribosomal RNA is filed under the name uncultured bacterium. RNAcentral's name for it is "partial 16S ribosomal RNA". It matches the Rfam family "Bacterial small subunit ribosomal RNA", at positions 524 to 776 of the family's 1533-position model. The record is from RNAcentral.
UACGUAGGUGGCAAGCGUUAUCCGGAAUUAUUGGGCGUAAAGCGCGCGCAGGCGGUUUCUUAAGUCUGAUGUGAAAGCCCACGGCUCAACCGUGGAGGGUCAUUGGAAACUGGGGAACUUGAGUGCAGAAGAGAAAAGCGGAAUUCCACGUGUAGCGGUGAAAUGCGUAGAUAUCAAGUGGAACACCAGUGGCGAAGGCGAAUCCCUGGACAACUUCUGACGCUGAGGCACGAAAGCUAGGGGAGCAAACAGG